Molecule: long non-coding RNA, 585 nt
Filed under: Oryza sativa aus subgroup
Lineage: Eukaryota; Viridiplantae; Streptophyta; Magnoliopsida; Poales; Poaceae
Description: lncRNA OsN22_05G008610
Source: RNAcentral
AUGACUCCUAGAGAAAAAAAAAGCUUUGUCUCUGAGUCCGAGGACGAGGCGUGUGGAGGCGACCCCAACUCCGAGCCGUCUCCCGACGGCUGCGUCGUCCCUGACUCCGAGGAUGAGGCGUGUGGUAGCGACCCCGACUCCGAGCUGCCUCCUGACGGCUGCAUCGUCCCUGACUCCGAGGACGAGGCGUGUGGCGGUGACCCCGACUCCGAGCUGCCUCCCAACGGCGGCUUUGUCCCUAAAUCCGAGGAGAAGGCGUGUGGCGGUGACCCCUACUCCGAACCACCUCCCGACGACUGCAUCGUCCCUGAAUUCGAGGAUGAGGCGUGUGGCGGCAACCCCGACUCCGAGCUGCCUCCCGACAGCUGCUCCGUCCCUCGUGGGAAUGUGAUCAUGUGGGGCCGGAUGACACUGGCCAGAUAGAGUUUGACAUCCUCUGCACACGUAAAAGGUGAUUUAGGGUGUGUUUAGUUGACGAAAAGAAAAUUUUUGAAUGUCACAUCGAACGUUUAACCAGAUAUCGGAAGAGGUUUUUGGACACGAAUGAAAAUACUAAUUUCAUAACUCGCAUGGAAACCACGAGAC